GGUGCAUUCGUCUAGUGGUCUAGGACGCCGCCCUCUCACGGCGGAAACUCGGGUUCGAACCCCGGACGCACUA
RNAcentral lists this transfer RNA (73 nucleotides) under Parabacteroides merdae. RNAcentral's name for it is "tRNA-Glu". It matches the Rfam family "tRNA". Rfam says of the family: Transfer RNA (tRNA) molecules are approximately 80 nucleotides in length. Their secondary structure includes four short double-helical elements and three loops (D, anti-codon, and T loops). The record is from RNAcentral. Lineage: Bacteria; Pseudomonadati; Bacteroidota; Bacteroidia; Bacteroidales; Tannerellaceae. RNAcentral also lists the same sequence under 6 other names.